This 253-nucleotide ribosomal RNA is filed under the name uncultured prokaryote. RNAcentral's name for it is "partial 16S ribosomal RNA". It matches the Rfam family "Bacterial small subunit ribosomal RNA", at positions 525 to 777 of the family's 1533-position model. The record is from RNAcentral.
ACGGAGGGUGCGAGCGUUGUCCGGAAUCACUGGGCGUAAAGGGCGCGUAGGCGGCUUGUUAAGUGGCUGGUGAGGUCCCGCGGCUCAACUGCGGGGCUGCCCGUCAUACUGGCGAGCUAGAGCACGGUAGAGGCGGAUGGAAUUCCCGGUGUAGCGGUGGAAUGCGUAGAGAUCGGGAAGAAUACCGGUGGCGAAGGCGUUCCGCUGGGCCGUUGCUGACGCUGAGGCGCGACAGCGUGGGGAGCAAACAGGA